Maylandia zebra (zebra mbuna) is the source of this 192-nucleotide non-coding RNA. The record is from RefSeq and is a predicted model, not a curated record. NCBI's taxonomy places the organism in Eukaryota, Metazoa, Chordata, Actinopteri, Cichliformes, Cichlidae.
AAAUUCUACUGCCUCCUUCCAGUCUCCCUCUUCUGCACAAACAGAUGAUGACAUGUUAUCUUCUAGAGCCAUUUACACCACCGUACGGCCGGAUGAGACUAAACUCAAGGGUCGCAGAAAGAGAGCUGACUGAAGACAAAAUCACAUCUGAGUGAAAGUGAAGUCAAUGAAGUAAUCCACAUUUAUCACAUU